RNAcentral lists this unclassified non-coding RNA (155 nucleotides) under uncultured Ascomycota. Its description in RNAcentral is "sequence contains ITS2". Lineage: Eukaryota; Fungi; Ascomycota. The record is from RNAcentral.
AACCCUUCAAGCACUGCUUGGUGUUGGGCGUCUUGUCCCGCCUCGGGCGUGGACUCGCCUUAAAGACAUUGGCGGCCUGUGUAUUGGCUUCGAGCGCAGCAGACUCGCGCGUCGACUCCUCUUGCACCAGGUGUCCAGCAAGCCUACAACCCCAA